This 93-nucleotide ribosomal RNA is filed under the name Escherichia coli. Lineage: Bacteria; Pseudomonadati; Pseudomonadota; Gammaproteobacteria; Enterobacterales; Enterobacteriaceae. RNAcentral also lists the same sequence under 11 other names. The record is from RNAcentral.
CCUGGCGGCAGUAGCGCGGUGGUCCCACCUGACCCCAUGCCGAACUCAGAAGUGAAACGCCGUAGCGCCGAUGGUAGUGUGGGGUCUCCCCAU